RNAcentral lists this ribosomal RNA (372 nucleotides) under uncultured eukaryote. Its description in RNAcentral is "SSU rRNA". It matches the Rfam family "Eukaryotic small subunit ribosomal RNA", at positions 587 to 967 of the family's 1831-position model. The record is from RNAcentral.
AGCUCCAAUAGCGUAUAUUUAAGUUGCUGCGGUUAAAAAGCUCGUAGUCGGAUUUCGGGUGGUACCUGCCGGUCCGCCUUUGGUGUGUACUGGUAGGCGCUACCUUUCUGCCGAGGACAGGCUCAUGGGCUUUAUUGUCUGGGGCCUGGAGUCGGCGACGUCACUUUGAGUAAAUUAGGGUGUUUAAAGCAGGCAUAUGCUCUGAAUACACUAGCAUGGGAUGACACGAUAGGACUCCGGUCUAUCUUGUCGGUCUGUAGGUUGGAGUAAUGAUUAAGAGGGACAGUCGGGGGCAUUCGUAUUUCGUAGUCAGAGGUGAAAUUCUUGGAUUUACGGAAGACGAACUUCUGCGAAAGCAUCUGCCAAGGAUGU